This is a long non-coding RNA of Cercocebus atys (sooty mangabey), 664 nucleotides long. RefSeq lists it as uncharacterized. The transcript is spliced from 4 exons. The record is from RefSeq and is a predicted model, not a curated record. NCBI's taxonomy places the organism in Eukaryota, Metazoa, Chordata, Mammalia, Primates, Cercopithecidae.
GCGAGCGGCGGCGGGCCGCGGGACUGCGCUUCUAGCGGCUGGGAGGGGCUCUGGCCGCGGAGCACCGGUGUCCACCCUACCUCGGGGUCGAGGGGCUAGUUCCCGGGCCACGCCGGCCACAGCACGGACCAGAAAGGAAGGAAAAACUGAGGCUCAGCGAAGUGACAUGGCUCACCCAUGAGUCUGGCCUCUGGAAAGGACAGACUUGGCAGAAGUGAGAUGGGAGAGUGCCAAGGACAGAGUCCUGGCAGAGCCACGUAAGUGCCUGGGCCACCGCAGAGGAUGAGAACCAGGACACAGCAGUGUCUUCCAAACAAAGAGAGCACCCAUUUCCUGCCUGGCCCACGUGGUCCAGCCCAGCAUCCCGGAGGUGACAGCCGCAAUGGAGGCGAGGCUGCCAGCCAGCAUGAUGGCUUUCAUGGAGAAAUCUUCGACUUGAAGAAAGUGAAGGUGUAUUUGGAGGUGAAGGCACCCUCUGGGGCAUCCUCUUACAGAUGUCUCUGCUGAUUGGUCAAUUUGACCCUCAGGGCCAAGAGGCCUUCUCUUCGUGGUCCAAAAACCAUCGUGGGGCCAGAAGCCAGCCUCAUGUGGGGAAGUGGGAGUCCAGGGCUGACAUGUCAUCACCCUUUCUUUUUGCUCCCUUUGUGAAGGGAAAUGAUCUUGA